GAUGAACGCUGGCGGCGUGCCUAAUACAUGCAAGUCGAGCGAACAGACGAGGAGCUUGCUCCUCUGACGUUAGCGGCGGACGGGUGAUUAACACGUGGAUAACCUACCUAUAAGACUGGGAUACCAUCGGCAAACCGGAGCUAAUACCGGAUAAUAUAUUGAACUGCAUUGUUCACUAGUGAAAGACGGUUUUGCUGUCACUAAUAGCUGAAUCCGCGCAGCAUUAGCUAGUUGGUAAGGUAACGGCUUAACAAGGCACCGAUGCGUACCCGACCUGAGAGGGUGAUCGACCACACAGGAACAGAGACACAGACGAGACUCCAAAGGAAGGCAACGGUAGAGAAUCUUACGCAAGGGAGGAAAGCCGGACAGAGCAACGCCGGAGGAGUGAUGAAGAACUUCGGAAGGUAAAACGCUGAUAUUAGGAAAGAACUAAUGUGCAAGUAACUAUGCACGUCAUGACGGUACCGGAACAGUAAGCCCCGGCUAACUACGUG
This 497-nucleotide ribosomal RNA is filed under the name uncultured bacterium. RNAcentral describes it as "partial 16S ribosomal RNA". It matches the Rfam family "Bacterial small subunit ribosomal RNA", at positions 28 to 507 of the family's 1533-position model. The record is from RNAcentral.